AGCGAACGCUGGCGGCAGGCCUAACACAUGCAAGUCGAACGAACCUUUCGGGGUUAGUGGCGGACGGGUGAGUAACACGUUGGAACGUGCCUUUAGGUUCGGAAUAACUCAGGGAAACUUGUGCUAAUACCGAAUGUGCCCUUCGGGGGCAAGAUUUAUCGCCUUUAGAGCGGCCCGCGUCUGAUUAGCUAGUUGGUUGAGGUAAUGGCUCACCAAGGCGACGAUCAGUAGCUGGUCUGAGAGGAUGAUCAGCCACAUUGGGACUGAGACACGGCCCAAACUCCUACGGGAGGCAGCAGUGGGGAAUCUUGCGCAAUGGGCGAAAGCCUGACGAAGCCAUGCCGGGUGAAUGAUGAAGGUAUUAGGAUUGUAAAAUUCUUUCAACGGGGACGAUAAUGACGGUACCCGGAGAAGAAGCCCCGGCUAACUUCGUG
This 434-nucleotide ribosomal RNA is filed under the name uncultured bacterium. RNAcentral's name for it is "partial 16S ribosomal RNA". It matches the Rfam family "Bacterial small subunit ribosomal RNA", at positions 29 to 507 of the family's 1533-position model. The record is from RNAcentral.